GUAGCCGCUCCUUACGGUUAUUUCCUUCGCUAUUCUCACGAUAAUAAUUCAGUUCAUACCUUUUUGUUUUUCCUCUUUUGUCCUUCGAAGCUUCGCGGCCCUAUCUCUUGUUCUCUCAUCCUCUGAAUCAAUCAUCAUCUAUCGUUAAUCAUCAAUCAUCAUUUCUUCUUUCAAUCACUCUAAUUCUCUUCUUUGAUUGUCACUUCUAAUAGGGUUUCUAAUUGUUGAAUUUCGAUUUCUAGGGUUUUCUUUCUCUAUAUCAAUCAAACCCCAAGCUUUUUGAGUAAGUUCAAUUCAUUGCUCGGUGACUGGCUUUCAAGCGUCAGAGACUCCGAACUCGCUUCAAAAGGUUAUUAUUUGCUGAAUCUCUCAUUUAUUCUGUGUUUUGUUUUUCGUUACUCUCGAUUUGUUUUCUCAGAUCUUUGUGGCUGUAAGUUGGUGAAAUUUUUGAUUUUAAGGUUGUUGUGUUAGUGUGUUCAAUUUGCUUAUAUUCAACAAAAAAAGAAACAAUAAGAAAGAAAAAAUUGUUUUGUAUUGAAUAGAUAAUAUUCGAAAUUAGGGUUUUCAGCAUUAGGGUUAUAAUUGAGCUUGACUUUUUAAGUCACGGGAUAUCUUUCCCUACAUGGCAGCGGGAAGGCAUGAGGGAUAUAACGAAAUUGAAUUUAAAGACCGUGCUGUGGAUUAUGAUACGUCUAGGCGUGAUAUAGCUUAUAUGAAUGGUGAGCAUGAUACUAUAAGGAACGGAAAUCAGAUUAGGGAUUGGAAUAUGGUAAAAGGUAGAGAAAGAACUAGGGUUAGACAGAGAGAUAUUAAAGAAAGGGAGCUUGCUAAUGGGGAUUAUCACUCGUUUUCUGGUAAAUGUGAAUCAGGUGGAAGUGAGGGUGGGGGUGCAGGGGGAGGAGGGCCCAGGAGAUGUGGGUUUGCAGCCAGGGUUACAGACCGUGAGCCUGGGGAAUUGUCGAGUGAGGAUGGUUCCGAGGGUCCUAUUGAGUCGGAAUCACGGUUGGGUAAGAAUUGUGGACUGUCAGAAAUGGAGAAUGGUGUUCACUUUACAUCUGAGGUUACUAAGAAAAGAAAGUUCACUCCUAUUGUAUGGGAUAGAGACGACAAGGGAGUCAAAGAUGCGUCGAAAACUAAAGCUGUGUUGGUUAAUACAUCGUUACCUCCUCAGCCAAUCAAGAAACUUAACCAGAAGUCACCUAUAUUAGUUUCUGCAGAUAAUGAGGGGGUAUCUUCUAAUAAAAGUGAUAAGCCCAGAGAAGAGUUGGAAAUUUCUCCUGAUGCAUCUCCUAUGAAUCAGGAUCAAUUAGAUGAUGUUGUCUCUGGGCCGGCUGAGGAACAGCAUCUUUCACCAUCUCAGGGACGACUAUGGGGGAGUGACAAGGAGGCUGAGCAGAUAGAAGAUGAGUAUUACAUUCCCACCAGACAUAUAUCUGCAUCAAGGUGGGCAGGUGAUGCUAACUCUCCUGCUGAUGAGGGUGAAAUAUCUGAUGAUGAGAUUAUCCGGAAAAGGAGGAAGAAGAUACCAUCUUCUGACUUUUUAGAUUCUAGGAGGAGCAAGAAGUCAUCAAGUCCAGAUGCUGGAGAUGGCACGAGAGAGUUUUCUGAUUUAGCCAAGGGAAGAGUAUCGGAUUCUGAUGGAAGCAUGCGAAGCAGACCUUCCAGUGGAGAUCGUGGUCAUCAAACUGAUCAAGAUCAGGUAGAUCAUAUUGAGGUAAAUGAUAGAUACCGUGACACUGACUCUAGUGGUAGCCCCAAAGAAACUGAUUCAGAAGAUGAAGAUUAUUCACAUGGAUCACCUGAACCUCAAGUUGCUCCCAAGAGAACAGUGAAUAUGCUUCAGGGCUGCAGAAGUGUGGAUGAGUUUGAAAGACUAAAUAAGAUAGAUGAAGGAACUUAUGGUGUAGUUUUUAGAGCUAAAGAUAAAAAAACUGGUGAGAUCGUAGCUUUGAAAAAGGUAAAGAUGGAAAAGGAAAGAGAGGGCUUUCCAUUGACCUCUUUGAGGGAAAUUAACAUUCUUUUAUCACUGCAUCACCCAUCUAUUGUUGACGUUAAGGAAGUAGUAGUUGGAAGCAACCUUGAUAGUAUCUUUAUGGUGAUGGAAUACAUGGAGCAUGAUCUUAAAGGCCUUAUGGAGACGAUGAAGCAGCCAUUUAGUCAAAGUGAAGUUAAAUGCCUCAUGCUCCAGUUAUUAGAUGGUAUUAAGUGUCUUCAUGAUAAUUGGGUUCUUCAUCGUGAUUUAAAGACUUCAAAUUUGCUUAUGAACAACCAGGGUGAGCUGAAGAUUUGUGACUUUGGGUUGGCUCGACAGUAUGGGAGUCCAUUGAAGCCAUAUACUCAUUUGGUUGUUACACUUUGGUACAGAGCUCCAGAACUUCUUUUGGGUGCAAAAGAGUAUUCCACAGCCAUUGAUAUGUGGUCACUUGGUUGCAUUAUGGCUGAGCUGUUGUCAAAGGAGCCGCUUUUUAAUGGGAAAUCGGAAAUUGAUCAGCUUGAUAAGAUAUACAGGAUUCUUGGCACGCCGAAUGAGGCUAUCUGGCCUGGUUUUUCCAAGUUGCCUCAUGUGAGGGCCAAAUAUGUGACGCACCAGUACAAUCAGUUGCGCAAAAAAUUUCCAGCAACAUCCUUUACAGGAUCUCCAGUUCUCUCAGAUGCUGGAUUUGAUCUGUUGAAUAGAUUGCUAACUUAUGAUCCCGAAAAGCGUAUUACGGCUGAUGCUGCACUUAAGCAUGAUUGGUUUCGUGAAGUUCCUCUUCCCAAGUCAAAGGAAUUCAUGCCUACAUUUCCUGCUCAACAUGCACAAGACAGGCGCAUGCGUAGGGUUCGUAAGAGCCCCGAUCCAUUGGAAGAGCAACGCAGGAAGGAGUUGCUACAACCAGAAUUGGGGACUGGGGGUUUGUUUGGAUAGGAGUCUAUGCCUGAGCAAAAUUGAGCUUUAUGCUGUACGAGUUUUGUAAACACCUUCAGAUGGACAUGCAUGAGUUGAGGGUGAUGGGUUCAACACAACUUGCAAAAUUGGCUUGUGAGACUGUCAUUCAUGCUGUUUUUUAGCAGGCAUGCCAGUGGAGGACUAUAUUUUUUUUCUUAUGCAACCAGAUCUGUAGCUGUCAAAUAUAUUCUCCAGCGUUGGUGAUAGCAUUGCAUGUAACAAGGCUUGCUUCAGAAGAGAUGGUUGAUGUAAAGCGGAGGGGAUGUUCUUUGCUUUUCAUUGACAAGUGAAGUACAAAUUAGACAAGAGUAUUAAAGCUAGCGGGGUGAGGAGGUUGAAUUCCCAAUUGUUUGGUUCUUCUCAAAUUUUAUAGUCCGUGCCCCAUAGAGGUACCUUACCACUCUUUAUACUUAAUUUUACUCAAGGAAUAAAUUAUUUAGUAUAUGUUGUAGAUAAUGUUCAAUAAAAUAUUUACUGUCAACACUGUCAACGUCACUGAAGUUUCUGUGGGUUUGGUUAUUGAGGAGGAUGUCUAAGUAAAUAACAGUGAUUAGUGAAGUUAACAAAUCACCUUAUAUGGCGGGAUUUGAUAGGAUGGGAGUUUUGUGAUUUUAAUUUACCUUUUAAAUUUUUUAAAUUUUAUUAUUCUUCUUUUUGUGGUGAUUUACAAAUCACGAUGAUUGAUUAGGAAAUUCUGGUUUUUGAGAUACUAGUAAUUGUUUAGUAGUACCCAAUAUAUUGAGAUUAUGAAUUUGAAUUAUUGUAGUAGUAAAUAUUUAGUUAAGAUUACUACUGAUAGCCUUUUAAUGUUACUGAAGGUGUACUAUUAGUCAUCUAAUAUGAUGUAGCAUGUCCUGAGCUUUCAUUCCUUGGCUCUUAAAACAUCUUAUGGCAAUUGAAUGAAUUAGGGUGGUGUUGUUCCUUGGAUAGGUUGAUUAAAUGCCUGUGCAUGUUGAUGUUGCAACUAUGUUUCUGCUUGAUUAUCCUGAUAGGUUAAAUCUAUUAAUUUUGGGUUCAUAUGCAGUUAAGUUUGUGUGAAUUUAGAAUGGCUUAUGUUUUAUGUUUUAGGCAGUAGUUCCAUGUCUGCGAAGUAUGUUUAUGUUGCUGUUGGUAUAAAGAUAAACUAGUUGGAUGGUUAUUGAUGAAUUAUGACCUAAGAGCUUGAUUUUUCCAAUUAUAAUUCGCUUAUGUAUCUCACGAGGAAUAGCUUAUGUGGGCCGAAGUGAUUUCUUUGAUUAUUGCCAUUUUCUCUCUGAUUGAUAUCACUAAUUAUUUUGCUACUAUUACAAAAACUUUAUGAUGCAUACUGGUUACAGUUAAUUCAGUGCUUUACUUGAUUUUCUGUCCUGCAAUGCGUUAAAGGCCACCUAGGGUGUUUUUCCCAUUGCUUUUAGCUGCUGAUGUUAGUCCCUGUUUUCUGUUUCCCAUCUCUAGAGAUUUAUGCGGAGAGUCAGGGAGAAAAAGAGAAGGGGGAGAAGAGAAGUGGGAGUCGGGCACUGUUGUUUGAUAACUACUGAAAGGAAAAUAAUCAAUAAAGUAUAAUUUGGCGAAAAAUAAGACCUCUCGGCCCUCUCCCCAAUUCCUCCAUACGUGUUUGGUAUUAAGAGAAUAUCUUCGAAAAUCCUUCACCCAUCCACCUCUUUGUUCUCUAUCUUGUACAGUAUUAUGUUAGUCCACUUGGCCGUUACUGCAGUAAUCAAAAAAAUUCGUUGCCAAUCUUGUCAAGGUCUGUGGUUACCUACCCCUCCCAAAUGAACGACCCUACAAAUGGUGCCCAAACUCACCUGCUUAUUUUCUCAGAUUUUUGAUUAACAGCUCUUUGUUGAAGGUUUUCUGUAGGUUGGUUGGUAAUAAGUGGUUUUUGGGUGUCAAUCAAAAUUUUCAAGUUCUAUUGAGUGGUUUUUGGGUGUCGAUCAAUAUUUGCACGUUGUUUGGGGCAGCGAUGGUGAGUGGUUGCUGUGUCGUAAAAGAUUGCACGGAGAAGAGAGAAAAAAAUUAGAAAUUGAAGUUUAUCAUCUUUUUUUCUAAUCUCAAUAAUAUCCUCAGAGGACAGCAGGGUAUGGUAAAAUAAUUGUUGCUUGUAGGUUUAAGAAUUGGAAGCUAGUAAGUUGCGUAAUAAUACGUUGGAAUGUUGGGGUUGGAUGAAGACGAUAAGGGGAUUGAUGAUGCGUAGUGAUGGCCACGGUUCGGGUUGAGCCGGUUUUGGUUCUGAUUCAUAAAGACUAGACACUGAUUUGAUCCGUUGUAUUUUGAUUCUGAUUCUAGACAAUUUCAUAUGGCCAUCAGUGCCACGCGUACCUUUGAUUUUGCUCGCUUUUUAUUUUAGGUGGUUUUGUUAUUUUGUCCCAUUUAUAUAUUAUGGGAGAUCAAUUUUAUUUAAAAACUAAUUCUUACUUUUUUUAUUUUAUUUUCUUCCAU
RNA transcript from Amaranthus tricolor (Joseph's coat), 5347 nucleotides. It is a transcript of the gene named cyclin-dependent kinase G-2-like, with no coding region annotated. The transcript is spliced from 8 exons. NCBI's taxonomy places the organism in Eukaryota, Viridiplantae, Streptophyta, Magnoliopsida, Caryophyllales, Amaranthaceae. The record is from RefSeq and is a predicted model, not a curated record.